AUGGCCGCGACAAACCCGGGCAUGGUUCAUGUGGUCGAGCCUCAUGGGCACCAAACAACGGUUCAUGAAGGAAGGAUAGUCCGAGUAUUUGGCCGUGCAUUUUGGGCGUUUGAGCAAAGCGUGAGGGCUUUCGAACACUGUAGGCCGGUCAUCGCAAUUGAUGGCACGUUCUUGACUGGACAAUAUAAGGGAACCUUGUUGGUUGCGAUAGCAAGUGAUGCCAAUAACCGGGUGUUGCCAUUGGCAUUUGCUUUGGUGGAGGUGGAGAACAAUGACUAUUGGGAGUGGUUUUUGCAUAUUUUGAGGACGAAGGGCAUGUGGCCUUAA
RNAcentral lists this ribosomal RNA (327 nucleotides) under Triticum aestivum (bread wheat). RNAcentral's name for it is "partial small subunit ribosomal RNA". Lineage: Eukaryota; Viridiplantae; Streptophyta; Magnoliopsida; Poales; Poaceae. The record is from RNAcentral.